UGGACGGACCGGGUUCAUAGGGAACCCUACCGUGAACGUUGUCUCAUACCAGACGGGGUAUGGAGACUUGGUCAUUUGGCGUUCAUACCGGACAGGGUAUGGGGACGGCCCACUUCACCCUCAUACCGGACGGGGUAUUGAGGUUUAUUCAUUUGGCGUUCAUACCGAACGGGGUAUGGAGACGGCCCCCUCUACCCUCAUACCGGAUGGGGUAUUGAGGUUUAUUCAUUUGGCGCUCAUACCGGACUAGGUAUGGGGACGACCCGCUUCACCCUUAUACCUGACGGGAUAUUGAGGUUUAUUGUUUUGGCCCUCAUACUGGACGGGGUAUGGGGACGGACUUGGAAUUAAGUUUGUUAAAGGGAAUGGUUCACGUGUAGCGGGGACCCCUAUGGAUCCCCAUGGAUACUAGUAGGCUGAUAAAAAAAGGCAAUUGUUGUUUGAUAAUUUG
RNAcentral lists this long non-coding RNA (451 nucleotides) under Carica papaya (papaya). RNAcentral describes it as "long non-coding RNA (CPAP_LNC003760)". Lineage: Eukaryota; Viridiplantae; Streptophyta; Magnoliopsida; Brassicales; Caricaceae. The record is from RNAcentral.